UAAGUGUACAAAGUUUGAAGACGUUUACAUGAAUACCUUUAAUUCGAAGGGUAUUCGUGUAAAUGUCUUCAAACUUUGUAUACCU
Paramuricea clavata is the source of this 85-nucleotide non-coding RNA. NCBI's taxonomy places the organism in Eukaryota, Metazoa, Cnidaria, Anthozoa, Malacalcyonacea, Plexauridae. The record is from the annotation of a GenBank genome assembly.